GGGGAUGUAGCUCAGCGGAAGAGAGUGUUUGUUGGUUGUAUGAGGACCUGGGUUCAAUCUCCAGCAUCUCCA
RNAcentral lists this transfer RNA (72 nucleotides) under Salmo salar (Atlantic salmon). It matches the Rfam family "tRNA". Rfam says of the family: Transfer RNA (tRNA) molecules are approximately 80 nucleotides in length. Their secondary structure includes four short double-helical elements and three loops (D, anti-codon, and T loops). Lineage: Eukaryota; Metazoa; Chordata; Actinopteri; Salmoniformes; Salmonidae. The record is from Rfam by way of RNAcentral.